UACGUAGGGUGCAAGCGUUAAUCGGAAUUACUGGGCGUAAAGCGUGCGCAGGCGGUUAUGCAAGACAGAUGUGAAAUCCCCGGGCUUAACCUGGGAACUGCAUUUGUGACUGCAUAGCUGGAGUACGGUAGAGGGGGAUGGAAUUCCGCGUGUAGGCAGUGAAAUGCGUAGAUAUGCGGAGGAACACCGAUGGCGAAGGCAGUCCCCGUG
RNAcentral lists this ribosomal RNA (210 nucleotides) under uncultured bacterium. Its description in RNAcentral is "partial 16S ribosomal RNA". It matches the Rfam family "Bacterial small subunit ribosomal RNA", at positions 524 to 732 of the family's 1533-position model. The record is from RNAcentral.